Molecule: ribosomal RNA, 253 nt
Filed under: uncultured bacterium
Lineage: Bacteria
Description: partial 16S ribosomal RNA
Rfam family: Bacterial small subunit ribosomal RNA
Source: RNAcentral
UACGGAGGGUGCAAGCGUUAUCCGGAUUCACUGGGUUUAAAGGGUGCGUAGGUGGGUCUGUAAGUCCGUGGUGAAAUCUCCGAGCUUAACUUGGAAACUGCCAUGGAUACUAUAGGUCUUGAAUACUGUGGAGGUCAGCGGAAUAUGUCAUGUAGCGGUGAAAUGCUUAGAUAUGACAUAGAGCACCAAUUGCGAAGGCAGCUGGCUACACAAAUAUUGACACUGAGGCACGAAAGCGUGGGGAUCAAACAGG